This 485-nucleotide ribosomal RNA is filed under the name uncultured Variovorax sp. Its description in RNAcentral is "bacterial SSU rRNA". It matches the Rfam family "Bacterial small subunit ribosomal RNA", at positions 896 to 1382 of the family's 1533-position model. The record is from RNAcentral. Lineage: Bacteria; Pseudomonadati; Pseudomonadota; Betaproteobacteria; Burkholderiales; Comamonadaceae.
GAAACUCAAAGGAAUUGACGGGGACCCGCACAAGCGGUGGAUGAUGUGGUUUAAUUCGAUGCAACGCGAAAACCUUACCCACCUUUGACAUGUACGGAAUUUUCCAGAGAUGGAUUAGUGCUCGAAAGAGAACCGUAACACAGGUGCUGCAUGGCUGUCGUCAGCUCGUGUCGUGAGAUGUUGGGUUAAGUCCCGCAACGAGCGCAACCCUUGUCAGUAGUUGCUACAUUUAGUUGGGCACUCUAAUGAGACUGCCGGUGACAAACCGGAGGAAGGUGGGGAUGACGUCAAGUCCUCAUGGCCCUUAUGUCCAGGGCUACACACGUGCUACAAUGGCCGGUACAAAGGGUAGCAAGACCGCGAGGUGGAGCCAACCCCAAAAAGCCGGUCUCAGUUCGGAUUGGAGUCUGCAACUCGACUCCAUGAAGUUGGAAUCGCUAGUAAUCGUGGAUCAGCAUGCCACGGUGAAUACGUUCCCGGGCCUU